GACCAGGCUGCUUCUCUACAUUUAAGCUGGUGGUGUUUAGCUGGUUUGGGCAUCUAUAAUGAUGCACUGGCUUACGGAAGUAUCUGACGGCUACGUCCCCGGUUGGUUGGCGCCGUGGGGAGGAUGUAAUCUGGGUUGGUCUGCAGAUACGAGACACUGUCUCAGACGUUCUCUUCCCCAUUUGGCUCAGCCUUUCCUCCAUUUUCAGGCAUCCUCGUGACUUGCUGGGGGAAGCACAGGGUGGAUGUAAUGGUUCAUGGUUCACUAGUUCUGUUGAUUAAAGGUCUCCCAGCAUCGUGCAUCAGGGAAGAAGAUUAAAGCGGUUUCCUAUCGAGAAAUCUGUGAUUUCCUCUUUAAAUGGUCGAUCCGUGCCUUACACGACUACGUAACUGGCUGUUCGGUCCCGAUCUUUACUUGAGAAGAGAAGGUAGGUUACUCUCUGAGGGUAUUUUGCUCCAUUUCUUAUUUGUGGGUCCAAAUCUUUAUAGAAUUCCAUAAUUACAGUACAUGUAGGUUUCUUAUCUGAUCCGUCUUCUGUGCCCUUUGUAUAACGCUCAUAAAGGCCAUAUCCGAAAGAAAAUAGAGACAUAAAACAAGGAGAGCCAAAAUGCCCAUUCCUGAGCAUUUUUGAGCCGUCGCUACCGUCAGAGCAUUCGGUUGGUUUGAAAGCUCAAGCUACGUUCCUCAGAAAUCCUUCUUUCACGUGGGAAAAAAAAAUGACUUUGUCCUUUUAACCUCUCUUAAUAGUCUUUCCACUGUAGGUCUGAUUUAUCAAUAUCUCUGUUUAAACCCUUGGAAGAAUCGUACUCUCUGUGCAUUACGUCUUAAUAACACCUUCAAAUCAUGCCCAAUUGUGAGAGCUACAAGAAAACCAUUCAGUUACAGUGAUUUGGUAGGAAAUAUAUCUCAUUUGGACAGUCAGGGCUAUCUCUUUUGUAUUUCAGGUAAUAUCUGUAAUUAAAGAAAUGUCCCCACAAGACAUAUUUUACCCGGGGCACUGUCGCUGUCUCUCCUACAAUGAAUUGCCACCACUCUGUUUGAUGAUCUGUGGAGGCGGUGAUGAUGAGGUGAGGACAAUACAGCUGAGUUGAUAGACGUGAUCUCUGUCGAUCGUGGAGUUUCCAGUCUAGCAGGGGAGAUGGAAAGGAAGAUAAAAGAGAAGAUACAUUACAGUGGUGAAGAAUCAUGCCUGUUCUCAGCCCCAUCCUCACCCUGGGGUAGAGGCCAUCCAGGGGUGUUUUCCCUGGGCAGGAGGCAGACAGCUGCGGUCCACUUGGGAUUGCCAGGACUUUUGCAGAGCCAAGGAAGAAUGUGAGGGUAACCCCCAGCGUCGUGGAAUCACCACUGUACCGGCCCCGCUGCUGGCUCAUCUUGGAGUGGCCGUUGGCCGGACUCGGCUCUCGGCUCCAUCCGCGGCCCGUCGACUAACAUUCAGGUUCAUCGUUUUGGACAGAAUGGCCGUUUGACCUUUAUAUCGAACUCUGCCGUGCUCUCCCAAGCACGGAGGACAGUACUCUGCACACAGUGCUCUGCUCACAGUAAAUGCUCAGUGAUUGCCACUGGAGCAGUGGAGGACUCCGUGGACUUCGCUUUUUGGCCAUGUGACCGUGAUGGCUAAAGGACCACCCACAAAGGAGUCAUGUGGAUUGGGUACCUGUCACCAAACAUCAAGCCCCUUCAUGCUGGCGAAGACUCCUGAGCCCAAAUGUCUAUGCUCAUACCCACCAUAAACGUGUGGCUUUUUUUUAAAAUUAAAAGAUAUUUUCUCUUGGUAAGUUC
Molecule: long non-coding RNA, 1779 nt
Organism: Ornithorhynchus anatinus (platypus)
Lineage: Eukaryota; Metazoa; Chordata; Mammalia; Monotremata; Ornithorhynchidae
Exons: 4
Source: RefSeq, a predicted model, not a curated record